CGGUUACGCAAAUAUAUUUUCAUAUUUACAAAAGUAAACCCUAAAAAUGAGAGUUGUAUCUGUAAUAGUAUAUAUAGUAAACUCGAUAAUCAACUUUCAUAACACAAUCCUUCAAAUCUUAACUUCAUUAAUUUCUUCUUUUUUUUGGUCAAAAAAAUGGCUGCAAAUCUUCCUAUCACGGAACUUGCUAACGUGAAACCUUUUCAAAACAAUCGUUCACUCAUAGACUCAACACACUCAAUUCACACGAGAGACAAUGAAAAUGAUUCUUGCUACUGUUUCUGCUACUUUGAUUCAUGCUACUAUAAAUAAACAACAGAUGAACAAGCUGCAAAGGUUUAUCAACUCUGGAGAGUGGAGAUUUAUUAAAAAUUUACUCUCUCAAAAUCUAUGGGAAAGUACAGAGCUACCAAACAUGGUUGCAAAAUGUCCCUCAUGAACACUACUAUUAUCACUCGGUGUUCUUCUCUUUCAGAUGAUGUUUUCUUCGAUUUGCAAACUAUCAAGAUAUUUUGAAUGAAUCACGAUUGAAUGCGAAUAUCUUUAUAGGUUUUUUUAUGUUUAGUUAUAGCUUUAUCUUGCAUAUAAUUUUUUUUCCUUA
Arabidopsis lyrata subsp. lyrata is the source of this 601-nucleotide long non-coding RNA. RefSeq lists it as uncharacterized. The record is from RefSeq and is a predicted model, not a curated record. Lineage: Eukaryota; Viridiplantae; Streptophyta; Magnoliopsida; Brassicales; Brassicaceae. The transcript is spliced from 2 exons.